GAAAAAGAACACACCGACAUUGGUUGAACAGUUUUCAAAUUUUGUUGCACUUCAGGCGUGGAAUUAGGGAGAGAGUUGACCGGCCAAAUACGCCCUAUAUGAUCGUUAACUGUAAUGUGCAUGCAAUUCACACUGUUCCUCUUCAAUGGUUAAUGUUAUUUUAUUUUGGGCAAACUAUAGAGUACUUUAAUUUUGAUUUUGAUUUUGUUUUCACACAUAUCUCUCUUUACUGUUUAUAAUUUUCGCGCUUGUAAGCCUAGAUGAAAAAUAAGGAAAGAGAAAAGAACGGGGGAGAGAAGUAGAGGGCAAUCUAUCUCUCUCUUUUUGGAAGAGAGAGAAAUUUCUCUCAUUUGGUUACUUAGCCUUUUUCUCUCGGAACCGCCCAGAAGAUUUUCUUCUGGCUUUCCAUCGACGUUAGUUUAUCCAAUCAGGCGUAAGGUUGCUCUCCUUCUUCCCUGUUUCGAUAUGCAUAGUUUUGAGUUCGGUUUUGCAGGGACUCUGC
This 502-nucleotide unclassified non-coding RNA is filed under the name Hevea brasiliensis (rubber tree). The record is from RNAcentral. Lineage: Eukaryota; Viridiplantae; Streptophyta; Magnoliopsida; Malpighiales; Euphorbiaceae.